RNAcentral lists this small RNA (83 nucleotides) under Marmota monax (woodchuck). Lineage: Eukaryota; Metazoa; Chordata; Mammalia; Rodentia; Sciuridae. The record is from RNAcentral.
GCUGGGCACAGUGGCACAUGCCUGUAAUCCUAGUAGCUUGGGAGGCUGAGGCAGGAGGAUCAGGAGUUCAAAGCCAGCCUCUG